Molecule: long non-coding RNA, 3372 nt
Organism: Entelurus aequoreus (snake pipefish)
Lineage: Eukaryota; Metazoa; Chordata; Actinopteri; Syngnathiformes; Syngnathidae
Exons: 5
Source: RefSeq, a predicted model, not a curated record
UGCGUGGAACUACCAAACAUUUCGAAAAAUGUGACGGCUUCUCUACUCCAGAGUGAUGCAAAGUUUUGGUUUUGGAUUACCUGCUAGUCCAGGAGCCAAAGGUGGACCUGGAGUUAAAGACGAGCCUGGUCCCAGAGGUCAUGCCGGCAUGUCCGGUGACCCUUGACCUUUGGGAAGCAAAGGAGAGAGAGGAGCGAUGGGCGUUCCAGGUGCUCAAGGUCUGAGUGGAACCAAAGGAGACAAGGUAGUACUGCCCCUCUGUCACUAGGUGUCCCCCAGGGUUGGGUGCUUGGUCCACUUCUCUUCAUUGUACAUGCUCCCCCUCGGUAACAUCAUCCGCCGCCAUCACCUCCAAUUCCACUGCUACACAGAUGAUGUCCAGCUACAUCUCCACAAAAUCUCUCCACCCUGACCGACUGCCUCACUGAAAUCAAAUCAUGGCUGCACUCCAACUUCCUCAAACUCAACUGACAAAUCUGACAUGCUCAUCGUGGGCCCCAAAUCCCUCACCAAAACUGCUCACAACUCUACUCUGUCCCCAUCCACUCACAUCCGCAACCUCGGAGUCAUUCUGGACAAUAAGCUCUCUUUUCAACACCGGGUCAACCACAUCACAAGAACUGCUUUCUUCCACCUCCAAAAUAUUGCCCGUCUCCGUCCAUCCUUCUCUGCCGCUGAAACCCUGAUCCAUGCCUUCAUCACCUCCACACUUGACUACUGUAACAGCAUCCUCUACGACUCAUCUUGCAACAUUCUCAAACUCCAAUACAUUCAAAACUCUGCCGCCCGCCUGCUCAGCCACACCCGCUCCCGUGAGCACAUCACCCCAGUCCUCCAGAAACUCCACUGGCUCCCCAGUCCUCACCGGAUCCACUUUAAAUCCUCCUCCUCACCCACAAAGCCCUCCACAAGCAGGCCCCCUGCUACCUCACCAACCUGCUUCACCUCCAUACCUUCACGCAGCCUCCGCUCCUCUGAUGCCAACCUGCUCUCCCCACCAUGCAGAACCAAGCUUCGGACCUGGGGUGACAGCUUUCUCCAUCGCUGCUCCCACCCUCUGGAACACUCUUCCCAAGCCCAUCCGUGACCAGUGUUGGGUUAGUUACUGAAAACCAGUAACUACUUUAUUUCAAAAGUAACUCAGUUACUUACACCAAAAAGUAAUGCGUUACUGUGAAAAGUAACUAUUUAGUUAGUUCUAUUUUUCUUUCUUUUUUUAAAGCUCCCAUUAAUGCCCUUUUAGCCUUCAUUUCAGUACUGUUAUUGCACUGGAGAAUAAUACAAUUUGUUGAUCAACUUGACUUUUUGAUUGAUUGAAACUUUUAUUAGAUUGCACAGUACAUAUUCCGUACAAUUGACCACUAAUUGGUAACACCCCAAUAAGUUUUUCAACUUCUUUAAGUCCACAUUAAUAAAUUCAUGGCAUGCAUUUUUAUCUUCCUUUUAACAUAAUUAAUGAAAAACAGUGCAACAUCAAAAGACACUUCUCCUUUCUUUAAACUUGGACCAAUGACCAAUAAUAAAAAGCAAGUUAAAGUGCAACAUAAGAAGGCACAUCAUCUUCCUUGAAACAUAGGUAGUGAAAUAAAGCCUGACAUCUGGAGUGAUGCUGCUGUCUUCCACACUUGGAGUCAUGGAUUGUACAAUCCUUGUUUUCAGUGGCAGGAUCAUUGACACAGAUGGUGACGUUUCAGUGCUCUGUAGAGAUGGAACAGUUCUGAGGGGUUUAAGCACCUGGAGGACCUCCUCUGCCACUCUCAAGUCAUCAUCAGACAGGUUGAUGUAUGACAUUUGUCUUCAGGGUGUUGUGGGUCAAUGCAGAGUAUAUAGCUGCCUGCUGCUCCAACAUAUCACAAAUUGAUUAACGUGGACUUAAACAAGUUGAAAAACUUAUUGGGGUGUUACCAUUUAGUGGUCAAUUGACCACUGAUGGAUGGAAUAUGUACUGUACUGUGCAAUCUACUGAAGUCUCAAUCAAUCAAAAUCAUACUUGAGCAGAGUAGACUUCUUUUAUUUUUCUGUUUUUCGGCUCAUCUUUCAGGCUCUCUGUCCUUUCCUCUCCCGCUCAGCAUCUGCUGCAAAGCUUGACUUGAAAUGUACGGAACGUGGAUCAGCUGCAGACCAACCAAGAGCUCUCCCAACUGAAAAAAGGUAUGACGACUUGAGUGGGCUGAUAAUUAACUGUUUCAUUUGUAGCUUGUAUUUUUGUAGCUUACCUUAACUGACACUUGUAUUUCAUCUCCGCUACUCACUCCGCCACUCCCUGCGCUGCGAUUCACUCUCCAAACAGAAAUAGUUUUAAUUUCAGUUAAGGUAAGAUACAAGUUACAAAUGAAACAGUUAAUUAUCAGCCCACUCAAGUAGUCAUACCUUUUUCUCAGUUGUGCGAGCUCAUGUUUGGUGUGCAGCUGAUCCACUGCAAGAGAUUGCUUAAACUUAACAACAAUAUUGUAAUGUCAGAUUGUAGAAUCUACCUUCCUUACAUUUCAGUUCAAGUAUUCUAAUUUCGGUUUUGACCCUUUUCAGCCGUUCUUGCAGCCUUCUUUUGUCUCCUUGCAGUCUCUCCUUCUGCCUCCUGUACUCCGCCAUGUCCAUUUGGUCCUCCAUCACGUCUUGGUGGAGCCGUGUAACGUCCUGUUGAACACAAGUAAAUCCACACAGCAAUCAUACUGUAUAUAUGGCAAGAUAACUGCAGGAUAUUUCUGUGUAACAGAGGAGUGACUAACUCAUGAAUGUGUGAAAAUAUUUCCCUGUCUUAUUCUUUUAUUUCUGAUUUAGAACAUGACACUGAGUGUGUUUUUUGGACACAAUAUUUUGGCAUUAAAAAAUGCCACACAUUCUGCUGCAUGUGUGCCUGCUUACCUUUUAUAAGGAAGACUUUAAACAUGUAAGUUGUUCAACAUUAAAAAUGACAAAAUCACUUCAAGUAUGGUUUUAUUUUCCUAUGUCAACAGUGUUACUUUUCAAACUGGAGUGUUACUGUGGCCUAAAAUAUGUGUGUGUAUACAAACCCCGUUUCCACACUCUUAAAAGGAAUGUGUUGGAAAUCCACACAUGUUUUGUGUAAUGAUUUCAACAAAUGUGUUAAAUCACAGGAUUUUCCUGAGGGGAAGUAACACAGACAUUCUACACAACAUUGUGUCAUGAGCUUUGACAAUCAGCUGGGUGGCCAUAGAGUUGGGGACAAAACAAAAAAAGUCCCGCCUUUUCUGUGAUCUACGUGGCCAUCACCGCCGGACCUCUGCGACUGUAUCCGUCUUAAUGAAGGUAAGCAUAUUCCAGUCUACUUGCACGUUGUUGUAUCUUAAAGGGUGUAAUAGUGGUAGUUUUGCUGGGAAUGUGUGACUGUAACCUGCUGACAAGAUGUAAAGU